Molecule: long non-coding RNA, 758 nt
Organism: Prosopis cineraria
Lineage: Eukaryota; Viridiplantae; Streptophyta; Magnoliopsida; Fabales; Fabaceae
Exons: 2
Source: RefSeq, a predicted model, not a curated record
AGAUUUUGGACCAAAAAAGCUUGUAUUUCUUAGCUGCUUUGAAGUUACAAUUGGUUUUGAUGUAUUCUUUUCUGCUGAAAAAUGAGUCAGAUGCUGUCUGGCAUUUACCGAGUGUUCCACACCGUUUAAAUAAUCUAAGUAUAUAUAUAUAUAUAUAUAUAUAUAUUUUGUUCGUCAUCUCCACAAAUGUAUGACCAUUAUCUUCUGUAGGAAAUUCGGCUGUACAAGCAAUUUCUUUACUUAUAAAAAAGGGUGUACCAGAGUCUAACAUCAUAUUUCUCAAUCUCAUAUCGGCACCCCAAGGCGUGCAUGUGGUCUGCAAAGCCUUUCCCAGAAUAAAAAUCGUGACAUCUGAGAUUGAGUUGGGCCUGAAUAAGGACUUCCGUGUCGUACCAGGCAUGGGCGAGUUUGGGGACCGGUAUUUCGGCACAGAUGAUGAUCAGCAGGUGGUGGUCCCUUCACAGUAGUUAUUUUACAUAUAAAAGACGUUGGAAAAAGGUUGAAAUUUGCUGAACUGAUGUAGUGAUGAAAACCAAAGCUCAGUCUUAUGCUCAACUGGGCCUAGAAUCAUAGUAUUGUGACCAAGUUGCCUUGGGUUUACAAACUUAGGUACACGUGUAAUUCUUCAAACCGACUUUUAACCUUUCUACUGUACCAGACUUGCGCUUUAGAUGUUGGUUUCCUUUCCAGGUACUUUAUAUCUUGAUACAUUUAGUUAUGAACCUGGAGAUGAAUGGAUAUAAAUCACUUUGAGUUAA